AUGUUUCAGGUACAGAUUGGUUUUGUGAUGGCCGGCUCCGAGGGCGUGAGGGGUUUGGCAGCAUCAGUGGGAGAGCUACACAUGGAGGCAUCACCAUCGCGGGAGGAAGGAACCAAUGGGCAUGGCAACGGUGAUGCUGCUGCUGUGGACGAUGAUGUCUGGGGUGAUGCCUCAGAUUCUCCAGGGCAUGAUUCUGACUUGAAAAGAGAAUGGGAGCACAGGCAGGAGCAGUUUCAUAAGAUGGGCUAUAGGGAUGGUAUAACCGAAGGGCAGAAGGAUGUUGCCCAAGAGGGGUUCAACCUUGGGCAUAGGCAAUCUGCGGAUGUCGCAUUCAAGUGGGGUCUCGUUCGGGGGAUUACUAGUGCAUUAGCUAGUCUUCCCGACAGGUUAAAAGAAAAGUUGCUGCUCGACGCCCAGCGUAGAGGAAAACUUGAAGAUUUGCACAACUCUGUGCAAGAAAUUUCAGCACAGGGUGCCCUGCAGCUGUUUCAUGAGAGUACUCUUCAGGAUAAUCGUCGACCAGAGGAAAGCAAGAUCCAAACUAUUCCAAAGGACCUUCUGCUUUUGUUGCAGGAAUGCCCAGAUGUGCAUGUUAGUGAAGAGUUGAAACGAGUUCCGUAA
This 621-nucleotide ribosomal RNA is filed under the name Triticum aestivum (bread wheat). Its description in RNAcentral is "partial small subunit ribosomal RNA". The record is from RNAcentral. Lineage: Eukaryota; Viridiplantae; Streptophyta; Magnoliopsida; Poales; Poaceae.